GCAAUGCCAGCCAGUGCCUGCGCGGCUUGCUCCAGCAAGGUAAAAUUUCCCACUGCGAGGCAGGCAGUGAUGCUGCGGCCGCUUCGCACUGUGGCUCCUGCCGACCGCCAGGCGCUGUUACAGUGGAUGCGAACUAACCGUAAGUCAUUAUAUCGUACUGCAGAAACCAGCUCAACUAUGCAAAACUACCACCAGGACUGGCCGACACCAGGAGGGAUUCCAGAGACCACACUGCAGGGAGCAUACAGAAAGAAAAUUAAGAGAUCAGAUGCAGCAGCAGCCGGAACCCACAGUUCACCUUGGUGCAUUCCUUUAUGAUGAAGACUUAUUGAUUCAUUAUAUGAGAAAGGAAAAAUGAGCAGAAACUACUGUAUGAUGUGCAGCUCACACCAGACAGCAACUUUAGGGUUAUCUUUCCAGUUCAGCAGUGCAACUCUAUGGAGUAGAAUUGAAAGGAGACUUUUCGCCAAUUGCAGGAAAUGGUCAUAAAAAAAUACCUGCUCACUGACAGAAUAAAGCACAUGUGCCUCACUCUUCAUGGUAAAUGUUUUACUGAAGAAUAACAUACAGAAAAGUGGACAAGUCUUAACUGCACAGCUCAAUGAAUUUCCAUGAAGUAAAUAUACCCAUAUGAUAAUCCAGCUCAAGAAACAGAAAAUCACUACCACCCCAGAAGACUGCCUUAUACUACCAUCUUUUAAGAGUGAAUCACACAUGGGAUAAGAUUAGCAUAUUCGUAGUCUGGAAAAUGCUAUACAAAGAAUGUAAAGCAUGAAACUACUUGUGGACCAAAUGAAAAACUGUGGAGCAGAUUAUGAUGCAGUUAGACCUUGCUUGAAUGACUUUGACCCACAAAAGCAGAGUAAUUUAUCCCUACUUACAGAGAGAUUGCCCUACGUGUAACAGCUGCAUACAAAAAAGUUAUAAAAUUAUCAUUGGUUUAACAAGGAUAAGUGAAAAACAUUAAAAUUCUCCAACUGAACAAGGUGUGUCUGUUUCAUUGAUUGGCUGACUGUCAAAUCGGAAUCUGAUCUGCCCCAUUGACAAUGCCUUGGGCUUUUCCUCGGCCAUGGCAAAUGCCAGAGUCUUCUCAGCUGCCGCUUCACAAAAGAGGUACCAGCUUCUCACUGAACGAACACAGUGCAGCACCAGGAGUGACAGAAGAAGGAGGCGGCAGCGGUGGUUGAGGGACAGGGUGCGUGCACGUCCAAGUACAGUUCUUAAAAUGUUGAGGGCAUACAACAUAUGCUCAAUAAAUACCUGAUUUUUAAAAAAGACAAUGACUAUGGAAAACUCUUGAUCAUUAACCCGAAGGGAGAGUCUAGUUUCCAGGAAGCAUUUGUUUGUAUACACUAUUUAACCCAAGGAUACACUCUUUUCUCCGUGGCAGCGUGACUCAUCUUAGUCUCCAAUUUUUGACCUGGUAAGGCAUCUUUUUUGGUCUCUUAAUUUCUGGCUCACUUGGCCCUGAUUUGAUGUGAAUGUUCUUACUGACAUCCCAGUGACUGAUUCUCAGCACACCACAACCCCUUUUGGUUCCUACCCUAUCUUCUCUGUGUUGGCAACUGGACUCGCCUAUUCUUCAGGACUUUCAGGAGUGCACACUCUGGUAGCUCUCUAUUGACUUUACUGCUCACUCAUUCUUUUUCUUUUUUUUUGGAGACGGAGUCUCGCUCUGUUGCCCAGGCUGGAGUGCAGUGGCGCGA
Molecule: long non-coding RNA, 1706 nt
Filed under: Homo sapiens (human)
Lineage: Eukaryota; Metazoa; Chordata; Mammalia; Primates; Hominidae
Description: HSALNT0376348
Source: RNAcentral